GUGACUGGAUCACAGGAACAGUUUCUCCCCUGUUGUUCUUGUGAUAGUGAGUCAGUUCUCACAAGUUCUGAUGGUUUUAAAGUGUGGCAUCCCCCCUCACUCUCUCUGCUGCUGCCAUGUAAGAUGUGCCUUGCUUCCCCUUUGCCUUCCACUAUGACUGCUUGUUUCCUGAGGCCUCACAGCCAUGCAGAACUGUGAGUCAGUUAAACCUCUUUUCUUCAACAAUUACCCAGUCUCUGGUACUUCUCUAAAGCAGUGUGAAAAUGGACUAAUACAGACUGCUUUCACACUAGACUUUUUCAAGCCUUUUCAAAAACCCUAUGAAUGUAUUGCAUAUUUAGAAAAUUAAACAUGGUCUGAAAUGAAUAUAUAAAAAGGCUUAGCACUUUAAGAAAUCAGAGCCAGCCGGGCGCGGUGGCUCACGCCUGUAAUCCCAGCACUUUGGGAGGCCGAGGUGGGCAGAUCACAAGGUCAGGAGAUCGAGACCAUCCUGACUAACACGGUGAAACCCCAUCUCUACUAAAAAUACAAAAAAUUAGCCGGGUGUGGUGGCGGGCGCCUGUAGUCCCAGCUAAUCAGGAGGCUGAGGCAGAAGAAUGGCAUGAACCUGGGAGGCAGAGCUUGCAGUGAGCUGAGAUCGCGCCACUGCACUCCAGCCUGGGCAACAGAGCGAGACUCCAUCUCAAAAAAAAAAAAAAAAUUCAGAGCCAUUUGCAAAGCCUAGUUCCUAGGCUAAGAACAGGAAUCAGAAGCGCUGCCUUUUCUGUGGUGUGAUGUUCACAAGAUGCUGGGUUCUACCACUCCAACUCUCCCCUCCUUAUCUCACUUAAUUAAGAGCAACAGUAAUAAUAACUAGCACCUGCUCACUACAUGCUAUGCACCUUUUCAGUGUUUUACAUGGAUUAGCACCAUUUAAUCCUCACAACAGACCUAUGAAGUAACUGAGGCACAGGAAAGAUUAUUUGAAGGUCAAAGCAGGUGAGUCAAAAUACAAACUCAGGCCGGGUGUGGUGGCUCAUGCCUGUAUUCCCAACACUUUGGGAGGUGAGGCAUGCAGAUCACUUGAGGUCAAGAGUUCAAGACCAGCCUGGCCAACAUGGUAAAACCCCGUCUCUACUAAAAAUUCAAAAAUUAGCCAGGCGUGGUAGUGUGUGCCUGUAGUUCCAGCUACUCAGAAGGCUGAGGCAAGAGAAUCGCUUGAACCUAGGAAGUGGAUGUUGCAGUGUGUCGAGAUCAUGCCACUGCCCUCCAGCUUGGACGACAGAGUGAGACUCUGUCUCAAAAAAAAAAAAAAAGAUACAAACUUGGGCAUUAUGGGUCCAGGACCCACACUCUUAACCGCAAUCCCACGAUGUCGCUCAUUUACGCAGCAAAUUACUCCAUUGGGGUUAGGCCUUGUUUCUCAAAAAAAAAAAAAAAAAAGGCUUUUGCAAAAAUGUUUCCUGGGAGGAUUAAUAGAGCACAUCUUUUAGCCAUUGUCUUUAGCACCUCUGAAAACAAGCACUUGUCACUAUGGAGACCAUGAAAUCCAGGAACAGGACAGAACACAAACAAGUACUAAAAGGGGAGUGGGAAGCAUUCGCAGAAUGUUCCAGAGCAGGGGGUGCCCACCGGACAGAGAUGUCAGAGCCCACAGAGGGACUGGGAAUGGGUAGGAUGUCUCUGGUGGGGCGACCAAAAAAUUUUACCAGCUCCCCAGCUUUCCAGAGAAAGCAGCCCAUUCUUUGGGACCCAGCUAAGUCCACUGGUAAGCAAGAGCAUGGCUUAUCUGUGUGAGUCAUCCAAUGAAACUACCAGCUUGUAUUUAUACCUACCCAGGAGGACACCCGCCAGGCUUUGUCAUUGCUGGUACAUCUGAGAAGAACACCUCCUGCUCUUUCUCUGGAGGGAGCUGGGUGACGAUACUACUAAACAGAUGCCAAAGCACAGAGCCCUCCCCUGCCCCACCUCCACCCUUCAGCCCUGGUGCGGGUCUUAUUGCUCACCAACUCUUGCUGCUUCUAUUUCUUCCUUCCCUAAUUCCUAAGGCCAAAAUCCAAGUUCAUUCAACAAAUCUUUAUUACUUGGCCUCUUACAUGGAUGGCCUCAUUCCAGGUGCUAUGGGGGAGAUAAGAACAGAAAUCCUGGUACCUGUAUGCCUAGAUUCAAAUCCCAGCUCUACCAUUUAAAAGCGGUGGGGCACUGGGCACAUUAGCCCCUCUGAGUCUGUUUUGCUGUCUCUAAAAUGAUAAUAUCUACCUCGCUGGCUUGAACCCAGGAGGAGGGUGCAGUGAGCCGAGAUCGCACCACUGCACUCCAGCCUAGGUGACAAGAGCAAGAUUCCAUCUCAAAAAAAAAAAAGAAAAAGCCAAUGGAAAACAAGAAACUAGCUAUGGAGGCAGAAAAGGGGCAGUCAGUGGGGUCAGAGACAAGGCAAGAAGCCAAAGAAGGGAUGGCCCUCUACUGCAUUUGGAAAAUAAGCCUGUGACAUAAAAGUACGCAUGCAUUUUUCUGAGGGCAAGAACCUGUAGGUUACAUUCUGAGGACCAUACAAAUCGGUUUUCCACCUAAGAAACUUCUCCAUGUAAAUUAUGUCGAGGUCGUCGCCAAAGAAGCUUUUUUCUCUCCAGGUGCUGUGGCUCACGUCUGUAAUCCCAGCACUGUGGGAGGCGGAUCACGAGGUCAGGAGAUCGAGACCAUCCUGGCUAACACCGUGAAACCCAGUCUCUACUAAAAAUACAAAAAAAUUAGCCAGGCGUGGUGGCGGGCACCUGUAGUCCCAGCCACUCGGGAGGCUGAGGCAGGAGAAUGGCAUGAACCCGGGAGGUGGAGCUUGCAGUGAGCUGAGAUCACGCCACUGCAUUCCAGCCUGGGUGACAGAGCGAGACUCCAUCUCAAAAAAAAAAAAAGGCUUUUUUUCUGAGAUGACACACUUCUACAAAAAUGCUUUCAUUUCUUCACCAAGUCUCUGCUAUUAUCUGACACCUGUCCGUCCCACCUUGGAUAGUACAAAAGUGACAAGAGGAUGCUAAAAGUUUUAAAGGGGCUGUUGAAAAAUAUGAGCUGGGAAACAUGUAGAGCUAAAUAUGAGCUCAGGUCAAUAUUAAAAUUGGAAGUAGGUCACAGAAUCCCAACCCCACAUAUUUGGAUCCAGCCCUUGGUGAGUGGGCCUUGGACUGUACUUCACAAUCCCAUCUUCACCUGCAGUUGUCCGGCCAACAUGGCCCCUUCCCGCCUGCCCUUUCCUAACCACCUCCUCUCUCUCUAGUGAAGACACUGAGCUCGCAGCCAUGCUGGUUGCACACUGCCAUUUUCUACAGGUUCUCAAGUGCAUGGGCUGCCAAGAGGGUUGGGUGUUUACAUUUAUUUUUAAUAGAAAUGGGGUCGUACCCGGGGCAUCUCUUUUCUGCAUACUGCAAUGUUGCUAGAUACACAAUCAGACACCAGAGGGUUGGGCAUUCUUGCAAUACCUUAACAGUGCUGAAACCUGCAGCAUGGUACUAAGGAAGUUAAAGUUAGAAUGUAACCACUUUAUUUAAAAGGUUUUUUUCUUUAAUUUAAAUGAAAUGGGGUUGAAGUGAACAUGAUUUUGUUGACCAUGUUCGUGAAUUAUAGAUGCAACAUGCAUUGGUAGAAUCGUGUGAUGGUCUUUUGUGAUACUUAAUUUUUACAUAUCCCAGUCUCUGUAUGUAUCUGCACAAAGAAAAAACAAACUCCUGCUUUGCUCUUAUUGAAGGGUUCCCAGGACUGCGUGUCUGCUCCUGAGCUCUGUUUUAAGUAUGUGUAUCCUUUGCUUGUAUUUUGUAUUUAAAAAGUAAGAAAAAGAACCCUUUAUUGUUGAGCAUGUUGGCAUCGUCCCGUUUAUUUUUUUCUCUUUUUGGGACAUAUGAAGCAAGUUAUUCUUUUUCUGUAUCUUUUUUUCUUUUGUAAACUUUUUGUUUUUUUCUUGUUUAAAAUUGGCUUUAUAAAAGGGCUUUUAUAACCCACCCCCCCCCCAAAAAAAAGAAAUGGGGUCCCACUAGGUUGCCCAGGCUAGCUUUGAACUCCUAGGCUCAAGCAAUCCUCCCACUCUGGCCUCCCAAAGUGCUGGGAUUAUAGGCGUGAGCCACCAUGCCAAGCUGGGCGUUAAAAAAAAAAAAAAGUCUGUGAAGCAAGAGUUGCAGGAAAAAAAAGAAUUAAUUAAUUAAUUGGGGGGAAAAAGCUGAAAGAAAAUCAACCGUAUUAAUAGUAAUUAUUUCUGAGUGGUGGGAUCACGAGUCCUGUAUUUCCUUCUAUGCAAUUAAUAUUUUCUAAAAUAUACAUGCAUUGCUUUAAGACAAGAAAAAUAUUUGCUGUUUUAUCAAGAGGCCUAGAGGUGGCAAACAACGUCUGGAUCCGUACACCACCGCUGGAGGAAUGCAGAGGCGGGCGGGGGCGCGACAGGCUGCUAGGCACCGUGCCCACUGUCUGUCCUGUAGCUUCCUACCAGCCCGAAACACUGAGGUUUCCAGAGGCAGCGAGGCAAAAGGGCCAGACAUUUUUCUGGUUAACACUCCAUGUAUUCAGUUUCCAAAGGUGCUAGGCCAGGGCGGUGAGGCCGACCUUGGCCAGGCUGUGGGUGGGUUGCUUGACUAGGCCAGAGAGUAAAUCAGUAGAAUUCCCACAGGCCCCAUCUGUGGGUGCGAGGCCAAAGUCCAUCGGCCCCACGGCUUUUCCGUGCUGGGAGGGAGGAAGGCAGAGGACGGCACAGGGAGGCUGGGAGGGAGGAAAGCAGACGACGGCACAGGGAGGUGCCCUACUCGCGGUUCAUGUCAUCACUUUCUCUUUCUGACAGUUCCUUGGGCUGCUUUAAGUGGAUAGCAGAGGCCACCUUCUAGAUAUAGAAAGAAACUGAAUGUCCAGAGUGUGAACUGGCCUGCUUGUAUCUCCCCUCAGCGGCAGUGGUGGUUGCCAGCCUGGCUUGCGUUUGCCCAAAAGUAAUAGUAAAGAGCUCUGACCACUGCUGUUCACCCUAAACUUGGGGCUGCUGUACUUGUAGGCUUUGGAAAGCAUGGAGGGGUUUCCACAUAUUAAAAAGGAAAAGGGCACCAGGUCUGUGCUCUGUGACCCCAUCACGCAACGGAAUGACACACAGCUAUGAAGAAUGAGGCUGCUCCACAUAUGCUGGGACUGAGAAAGGUUUUUGUGUUUUGUUUCGUUUCUGAGACCAAGUUUCACUCUUUGUUGCCCAGGUGGGAGUGCAAUGGCGCGAUCUCA
Long non-coding RNA from Gorilla gorilla gorilla (western lowland gorilla), 5214 nucleotides. RefSeq lists it as uncharacterized. The record is from RefSeq and is a predicted model, not a curated record. The transcript is spliced from 2 exons. NCBI's taxonomy places the organism in Eukaryota, Metazoa, Chordata, Mammalia, Primates, Hominidae.